This 72-nucleotide microRNA precursor is filed under the name Mesocricetus auratus (golden hamster). RNAcentral describes it as "miRNA (ENSMAUG00000005640.1)". Lineage: Eukaryota; Metazoa; Chordata; Mammalia; Rodentia; Cricetidae. The record is from RNAcentral.
CACCUGGGAGUCUUGUUAAAGUCUGGAGUGGAGCCUCAAGAUUCUGCAUUUCUAACAAGCUCCCAAGUGAUG